ACACGCGGAUCCCAGGGGCAAUCGGGUCGGGUCAAAACGGGUCAGCCAAUACGGCGCCGUUUUGGCGCUGUGAGGUUGGUCUCCAAACGGCACCGUUUUGUGCCUGUAUAAAGACCCAUUGUUUUUUUGUUUCAAGAUCAUUCUGCUACUUCAAAAAAACAAAAAAAACAGAAAGGGCUCCCCCCUUUCUUCUCUGCUAGGGUUUCGAAACCAUAGCUUUUGCGCCGCCAUCGCCUUUCAUUCCUCCACCGUGGACGGUGGUUGUGACAGCAACAAACAGGCUUUUCAGCCAUUGAUUGAGCCACGUUUGAAGGCCAAACCUUCAAAGUCUGAAAAAUCGAGAUAGGAAGACACCUCCCCACCUUCCUCAGGUUCGAACUCGACGGCGGAGGGAGGAUCUCCGGCGAGGCAUUCACAGAAACCCGGGUUCAAAAGGUCAAUAGUGGCAAGUGGUGAGGUGACAAUGGCGGUAGCUGCAGGCUAGGGGCGGUGGGGUGGUUGGUGCUGAUGGCAGAGGAUAGGCUAGGGUUUCAGAUUGUCUGAAACCCUAUUUUGAUUAUUGGGUCUGGGGGGUUGGGCUUGAUUUAGGUUGGGUUUUAAUUUUGGGGUUAUUUGGGCCCGGGCAAAUUGAGGGUUUUACACUUACUAAGAUUCUGUAAGAUAGAAUUGUUAUUUGAAUUGGGUGAUGUGUUUUGCCUUACUCCUUUUUAAACAGCCUGUUAUGUUGUUUUGUUCUAACCUGUGUUACAAGAACAUCGAAUUGGGACAUCUAAUAAAUAGAAAAGCUUUUCAUGAUGGAA
Gossypium arboreum is the source of this 800-nucleotide long non-coding RNA. RefSeq lists it as uncharacterized. The record is from RefSeq and is a predicted model, not a curated record. The transcript has 2 exons. Lineage: Eukaryota; Viridiplantae; Streptophyta; Magnoliopsida; Malvales; Malvaceae.